This 2674-nucleotide unclassified non-coding RNA is filed under the name Hevea brasiliensis (rubber tree). The record is from RNAcentral. Lineage: Eukaryota; Viridiplantae; Streptophyta; Magnoliopsida; Malpighiales; Euphorbiaceae.
UUUAAUUCCAUAAGUAAUUCACAUCAAAUGCCACCUGUCGCCCCACCACGAGGGGGGCUGGGUCAUGUCCCCCAAAGCAACAAGAGGUCAACAAACCCCAUUAAACAUUCAACAUUGCAAAAUAAAAAUCCAAGCCUGGUCCUCAAGGAAGACAUCACAGUUUAAUAUCUCAACAUUUCUUUCAAGGGGUUUCAAAUUUGAAGCCUACGAAGAGCAACCCGGCGCGGCUAAAAAAAGAAAAUAAUGAAGGACAAUGAAAGUUUUUAACUACCAAUUAUAAAUUGAAUUAGGCCUAUGGGUUACAUUCUAAACUCAAAUUAAUUAACAUAGACACUCACUCCUACCGAUAUUAAUUUUGUGCCCUUGUGGAUCUUCACUGCUGCUUUGCACUGAGGAGUUUUCUGGUUCCAUUCAGAUGCUGAUGGGUCUAUGCAUAUGAACAAAUGUUGUCAAAUCCCAUGUACUCCUUCCUCUCAAUCUUUUUGAUCAUGUGUGCUAUGCCAACCCCACCUAGUAAUAGAGCACUCACAAAGAUCGUGGACGCCAGAAUGAAGAUUAUUAUAGAUGCUCUCCCUAAUAUACUAAUCAACUUUCUUACCACAUGUUGCCCUAUAAAGGCGGCAACAAUAGACACCGCAAAGAAGUAGAGAGCGUAAGGAACUGGGAAACGCUUUAGAAGGUAAUAUUCUAUGACAGACAUCGAGGCAGAGAAAGUCAUAGCAAAUGUGGCUGUGGCACUUGACACCCACAUCAAGGUGCUUAAUGUCAGUACAGGCAUGAACUCAGUUUUACUCUGGCAUGUUGAUACAACAGAUGGCAAUUGCACCUGAGGGGGGAUUCCCAUCCCCAGAAAGAGAGGACCCAAAAUGAAUCCUCCACCAAGUCCAAGCAUCCCACCAACUAUUCCAGCCAACACACCAAUGACACAAUAGAGAACAAGUCGGUGAACUCGCCAGUUUGUGCUUGCUUCUCCCAUGGAUGCAAUCUUUCUCCGCCCUUUGUACAGGCUAACUGCCUCAUAUGCAGUUACCCCAACAGCUACAGGGAUCUGAGAGACAACACCAAAGCAUAUAGAACUGUUCUGACAGAAGACGCUAAGAUUUCAAAGAAACUUAGGAAUAAUGCAAGUCAUUUAUUCUUUGACUAUCAUACUGAAUAUACCAGCAGAAUGUUUAAUACCCAAUAUGUUACAGAACAGGUUGUCGAGUAAUUCUGGGUCCAAGAUUUAUAAGUUCCCCAUCAGUCUAGCCCAUGAAUACACAAGACUAUGAAUAGAAUGAAAAUAGCACUAAGUCAAUGAAACCUUGCCAAUCUGCAAACCAAGAAUUAUCAGCCACACAGCAAUAAGAAGUCCAAGUUCCUUCCAGUAAACAUUCUCAACAAUAGAGACCUGAGACAUUUACAGAAGUUAGUCAUGAAAAAUCAUUAGUAAAUUAAGGGCAGACUCUACAUAUUCUCACCUUCUCUUUUUUUGACUGAUUGGGUUCUGCUCGAACAGCACUGAUUGGGCCUCCAGGAGGAGUUUUGUCCUCCACCUCUUCAGUUGUGUCUUCAACAAAUUCCAAGUGUCUAGUAGCCUCCUUUUUCAAUUUGGUUUCUUUUUUCCAUGUUUCAACACCCUUGAAGAAUGCCUUGGAUGACGUGACUAUGAAGAGAAUGAUUAGCAAAAUUGUGAUUGUCCAGUCAGCAAAAAUGACGUUGAGAGCAACUCCCAAGCUAAUUCCCAGAACCAGCAUUGGUUGAAAUAGAAGUGCCAGGUCAUAGUCAAUGAUAGGCAGCUCAAGUGUAGGAUGCCUUAACUUUAAAUUGUAGUAAACUGUUGCAGCUGCUGCACCUGUGAUCAUACAUUUUGAUAUGGCUAUUGAUGAUUUUGCAUCAAACCCAAUAAUCAGGGUGAGCAUUGGAACAAAAAUGCCACCCCCACCACCACCCCCCACACUGCCACAUGCUGCACCAAAGAAUCCAAUUAUGCUACCAAGCACAAUUUUCCAGCCAAAUCUCAUUUCCUUCUUUCUCCUCCUGUUCCUCAUCACCAUUUCCACCAGCAGCACCGCCAUUUUCUUCCUUCUUGUCUCCAAUCUUCAACCCCUUUAACCCAUCAUCCACACACCCUUUCUCUCUCUCUUUCUCCUCCACAUCAAUACCACCCACCACCACCUUAUCCCCGCCCUCCCACACAACGCCACCACUCUUCUUUGCCACGCAUGGUCCCUGCACUUCCGUCUCCGUGUCUACUCCCACCAAAGUGUCCAGCAUAGCCGAGUCCUGUGACCCACCGAUGACCUCAUCAGUCAAGCCUUUGGCCUCUGGCCAAGGGUCCUGAACACAAUCGUCUUCUUCAUCGUCAGAGAAUAAAGAGGCGGCGCCUGAUUUGAUGGCAGAGGCAGCUUUGAAGAAAGCUUCUUUAAUGGACUCAUGAGGGAGAGCACAGUCCUCAAGGCCCGCGUCUUCGAGGCGUGGAGGGAGGAUCUUGUGGAGUAAUCCAGUGGAUUCUUGCUCCUUUGAGGCCUCCAUUGUUGAUGAAACAGAAAUGGAAAAACCCUAAUCCUCUAAAACAAGAGCAGUAGUCUUUAAGCUAGGGAUAAAUUUUUUUUUUGGCUUCUGUUAAGAGCUGUGCUGCUGAAAUGGCAAAUGACGAUUAAACGGGCCACCAGAUAUAUUCUGUUGAUAUUUG